Molecule: ribosomal RNA, 851 nt
Filed under: Gammarus pseudolimnaeus
Lineage: Eukaryota; Metazoa; Arthropoda; Malacostraca; Amphipoda; Gammaridae
Description: partial 16S ribosomal RNA
Rfam family: Bacterial large subunit ribosomal RNA (bases 587-851)
Source: RNAcentral
AGGUAAAGAAAUUUUAAGUAGUGUACCUUUUGUAUCAGGGGAGUUUAAAAAAAAAAAAGUUAAAAGUCGAUUUUAGCGGACUCUUUUAUUUAGUUUAUAGUGGGAGUUAUAAUUAGAAUUUAAGUUAAGAGGUGAGAUGUGUUCGGCGCUUUUGGUAUCUAAUUGUUUUUGUGGGUAAGAGGAUAAGCUCUUAAGUAAUCUAGGUGAUAAAUUUAUAAAAGAAAACUAGGCUUUAAAUUAGCUGAGUUUUUAUAUUGUUUUAAAUAAUCUUUCUAGCGAGUUGAGUACAGAUCUGAAAGACUACAUUAGUUAGUUAAAUGUUGUGUAAGUAAUUAAUUCAUUAAAUAUUGAUAGAGGCUAAAAAGUUACUCAAGGGUGGCUAGAAAGUUUAACAAAAACAUUUCCAUUAAAUUUAGUGAAGGUAUGACCUGCCCAGUGAGUGUUUAACGGCUGCGGUAUUUUGACCGUGCUAAGGUAGCAUAAUCACUUGCUUCUUAAUUGGUAGCUGGAAUGAAAGGUUUUACUAGCUAGGUUUGUCUGUGGGGUCAAAUAAUACAUUAAAGUCAGGGUAAGAAUUCUUUGAUAGGCUAGGGGACGAUAAGACCCUAGAAGCUUAAUAAUAUUUACAAUUUUAGUUAUAUAGAUAGGGUUUAUUUUGCUGGGGCGGCGUUGUUAAAUAAACUAACAUAUUUUUGGGGGAUCCUUUAGAUAAAGAUAUAACGGGUAAGUUACUCUAGGGAUAACAGUACAAUAUUUUUAGAGAGAACUUAUCGAUAAUUAUGAUUGUAACCUCGAUGUUGAAUUAAGAUCCCUGUGCGAAGCAGAGAGUGCACUAGGAGGUUUGUUCAACC